RNAcentral lists this ribosomal RNA (552 nucleotides) under uncultured fungus. Its description in RNAcentral is "eukaryotic LSU rRNA". The stretch from base 187 to 342 matches the Rfam family "5.8S ribosomal RNA". Lineage: Eukaryota; Fungi. The record is from RNAcentral.
AAGUCGUAACAAGGUCUCCGUUGGUGAACCAGCGGAGGGCAUCAUUACUGAGUACUACACUCUCUACCCUUUGUGAACUAUUAUACCUGUUGCUUCGGCGGCGCCCGCAAGGGUGCCCGCCGGUCUCAUCAGAAUCUCUGUUUUCGAACCCGACGAUACUUCUGAGUGUUCUUAGCGAACUGUCAAAACUUUUAACAACGGAUCUCUUGGCUCCAGCAUCGAUGAAGAACGCAGCGAAACGCGAUAUGUAAUGUGAAUUGCAGAAUUCAGUGAAUCAUCGAAUCUUUGAACGCACAUGGCGCCUUCCAGUAUCCGCUGGGAGGCAUGCCUGUCCGAGCGUCGUUUCAACCCUCGAGCCCCUGUGGCCCGGCGUUGGGGAUCUGCCACGGCAGGCCCCUAAAACCAGUGGCGGACCCGACAGGGCCCUCUCCUUCUUGCGCAGUAGCAUUCGCCUCGCAUCGGAUCCUCGGCGUCCGCCUCUAAACCCCACAAGCCCGCUUCGGCGGCACCAAGGUUGACCUCGGAUCAGGUAGGAAUACCCGCUGAACUUAA